CCUACGGGAGGCAGCAGUGGGGAAUUUUGGACAAUGGGCGAAAGCCUGAUCCAGCCAUGCCGCGUGCAGGAUGAAGGCCUUCGGGUUGUAAACUGCUUUUGUACGGAACGAAAAGGUCUUUUCUAAUAAAGAAGGCUCAUGACGGUACCGUAAGAAUAAGCACCGGCUAACUACGUGCCAGCAGCCGCGGUAAUACGUAGGGUGCGAGCGUUAAUCGGAAUUACUGGGCGUAAAGCGUGCGCAGGCGGUUAUAUAAGACAGUUGUGAAAUCCCCGGGCUCAACCUGGGAACUGCAUCUGUGACUGUAUAGCUAGAGUACGGUAGAGGGGAUGGAAUUCCGCGUGUAGCAGUGAAAUGCGUAGAUAUGCGGAGGAACACCGAUGGCGAAGGCAAUCCCCUGGACCUGUACUGACGCUCAUGCACGAAAGCGUGGGGAGCAAACAGGAUUAGAUACCCUGGUAGUCCACGCCCUAAACGAUGUCAACUGGUUGUUGGGUCUUCACUGACUCAGUAACGAAGCUAACGCGUGAAGUUGACCGCCUGGGGAUACGGCCGCAAGGUUGAAACUCAAAGGAUUGACGG
RNAcentral lists this ribosomal RNA (582 nucleotides) under uncultured bacterium. RNAcentral's name for it is "bacterial SSU rRNA". It matches the Rfam family "Bacterial small subunit ribosomal RNA", at positions 338 to 916 of the family's 1533-position model. The record is from RNAcentral.